GUACUAAUUUUAUAGAGCAAGAGUUGUUGUACAAAGAGUGAAGACACGAAGUAUUCACGAAGGUAGUCUUACCUAAUUCAGACGAAGGCAUUCUUACAUAUAUAUCUUGUCCAUCUUCAGAAUAGUCUCUAAUAUCAAUUAGCUUAGUAAACCAUAAGACACAUACAUGUCCACCUCUUCUAACAUCUGCAUUUGCAAAAGCUGUACAAGAACAGUUUUUGAGGCACAAUUUCUCACAUUCUUGAAGGUUCAUAUUCGUGUUAUACCAGGAGUGACGUGUGUCAGGUAACUUCACACCCGAAUAUUGCACAAAACCCUCAUCAGUCCCGCAGACAAAGAUUAUUCUGCCAUUUGUUAUAAUGUUAUUUUUUCUCGAUUUGAACUUACAUCUAAUAUCGCUCCAAUCGUUAGAAAACUUUCCGCCAUUAAAUAUUUUUAAUAUCGACAGUUUGAAACUUACUUUCAAUAAUUUCGAAACCGAAAAAGUUACUUUUAAAACUUCAUUCCAAUAUACUCAAAACGAACCGAAACUUCCUUCCAAUAAUUUCGAAACCGAAAAAAGUAAUUUUAAAAUUUUCUUCCAAUAUAUCCAAACUAAUAAGAUAAUUUUUAUUUUGGAUAUUUAUAAUUUAAAAUUUUCAUAAAAUUAGAAAAAAUAUAACAGAGAAUAUUUUUUUCCCUCAAUUUUUCCACCAUAAAAUUUGUUUUAAUGUUAUUUUUUCUCGAUUUCAAACGUACAUGUAAUAGAUCUCUUCUACUAUUUGGAAAUUUUUCACCAUAAAAUAUUUUUUAAUAUUGACCGUUUGAAAUUCUUUUCUAAUAAUUUCGAAACCGGAAAAAAUAGUGUUGGAACUUUCUUCCAAUACAUUCGAAAUUAAUUGAAACUUCUUUCUAAUAAUUUCGAAACCGAAAAAUAAUGUUGAAACUUUCUUCGAAUAUAUUCAAAACUAAUUAUAACUUCUUUCCAAUAAUUUCGAAACCUAAAGAGGUAGUUUUUAAAACUUUCUUUCAAUAUUCGAAACUAAAAAGAUAAUUUUUAUUUUUGAUAUUUUUAAUGCAAAAAUUUGAGAAAAUUUUGAAACUUCUUCCGAAUAUUGUCAAAACUAAUUGAAACUUCCUUUAAUUAAUUUCGAAACCAAAAAAGUUAUUUUAAAACUUUCUUCCGAUAUAUGAAAUGUCACAUCCCGGUCCCAAAAAAAAAAAUGCUUAUAUAAUACUUUUGAAUGUAUUAAAAUAGUUUCCGGGAUUUUUAGAUUUAACAAAAAUAUUUUGUUUUAGGAUUUAUAAGGAAUUUGCGAAUAGUAAGGUGACCCUAUAAAGGAGAAAGGACAUGAAGGGGUAAAAAUAAAAGUCUCAGAAUAAUUUUUAGAUAUUUUAUAAAUUACCAGAGCGGAGAAAUAGUGAACAGAAGUACGGUCAGAAUUGUAUGAUUUUGCACCGAACUGUGAUUAUAAAAUCCAGUUAUUAGAAAAUAGGUGAAAAUAGAAAAGACACAAAAUGAGCCAAGAAUUUUCCUAGAGUAUCUAAAUAAAUUGUGGAACUCAUUUAUGAAUUUUCGGAAAUUUUACGAAGCUCAAGGAAGUUAAAAUGAAAAGGAAUAAAGGAGCCGGAUACCCAAGAUUUCCGGACUGCAAAAUGACCUUUAAACUAAACCAGCGGAAUUUCAGAAGGAAUACUGAAGAGAAGGUUAGUACGUUUAUGAUCUUUGGAGUCUCUAGAACAUUCCUAUAUUGAGUUUGAAGAAAAAUCUCGAGAUUAAGAGUGGACAGGGAUCAGUGGAAUAAUAUCAGACCGAUACAUCCCUAAGAAAAAGUGAAAUAUUUUCGGACUCCAAAUGAGCUCAUUUUAUAGUCAAAAAUUCCCAAAUAAUAUACUAGGAAUUAUUAUAUCAUCAGAAUUCGUCAACGAGAUCAAGAAUGGGGAGAUUUAAAUUAAGAUUUUAACAGAAGUAAUUAGCUUAAAUGGAUAAUCAUCCAGAAUUCUCCCGAAUGCAUGUUGGCCAAGUCAGGAGGUGACACAUGGCAAUUACUUAAAGAUAACUAACAUUUAACUUUCUAAAACACCGCCCCAUCAUCAGCUUUCAUUUCAUUUGGUCGAAGCAAGCAGUGAAGAUAAAGAAAAAGAAAAAGAAUUCAAGAAAAAUUCAUAGAAAAAGAUUUCUAGCUCAGAUUUUCGUGUUCUAUAGCUUGUUGGAAAGAUCUCUUCAAGACCUUUAAUUCAAGAGGUAUGCUUCUUAUUUUUGUAAUCAUUAGCGUGUUCAAAAAGAUGGUUGAUUCUAGCUAUGAAUAGUGAUGUUCUUGGUGGAAGAAUUUCUUUAAAUCCUAAAAUAAGUACUAGGAGAUUAUGGUGUUAUAAUAAGCAUGUUUACAUGUUUGGAUUAUUGUUUAAGCUUGUAAAGUGGUUGUUCUUGAUUGGGUUUGGAAGGAGGAUCUGGUAUAAGUAUUAUAUGGUGAUUUGGAGGUUGUAUAAUUGUUUGGGCUGAUGAUUAACAUAAGUUUAAUUAGGGAAACGUUAAGAUUAUAGCCGUUAUCAUGGCCAAGUUGAAAUAACAGCCGCUGUUACUGUUCAUCCGAACAGUUUAGUUUCUACUUUAAGAGGUUUAUUUAUAUGGAUGGCUAGAGUUUGAUUAGUAGAUCGCGUGAGCGCUUGAAGCAUGCAAAACGGAUUUACGGUUUAGAAGUUAUGGCCAUUUUAGUACAGGACGCGCAGAAUCCUAGUUUCCGUAAGAAAAUGAACUUUGAGGUUACAAUUCGGCUAGUUCAAAGAUGAUAUAAAUCAUGGAAUAAUUUGAGUAAAUACUAGGGACAAAUUGGGAGGUAUAUGAGUUGGUUUCGUAAGAAAAACUCGAAUGAUUUAUAAGUGAGAAGUGUCAGAACCUAAAGGUGUAAAUAGUAACAAUAAUACGUGAGACGAGAAACAGUUAGUACCAAAUCUCUUUAAAAUGAAAGGAUUGAUAAUAAGACUGAUUAGAAGGGACUUUAAGGGUAGGUAACACGUACACACACUAUGAUAUAGAGUUAUAAAGGAUUUUAAUGAUUAAUUAUGUCCCUUAUAGGUGCACAGAAAGGUGCAGAAGAACUUUAAGGACCAGGAAGUUGUAACUGAGUUGCUGAAGUAAGGUGAGUAUACAUCAACACUACUUAUAUCUAUGUGAUAUGCGAAUUACGUGCUUUUAUAUGCUGAAAGUGAUAUAUUAGAAUAUUGAUUCGACUAUGUGAUUCUAUACAUGACUGGAGUUCUUUGAUGUCAAUGUAGUGUGAUGAUAUAUCAAAGUACAUGUAUAUAUGGAAUGUGUAUUGACCUGUGAUUUCACGAACGAUACAUUAACAUAGAGUCUGCAUAUAGAAUAGGUCAUAUGCACACCCUACAUUCAUUUGAUAGUGAUAAAUUAAAAAGUCAAAGUGACAGUCACUUGUGUAAUGGCCACCUUUAUAUAUGGAAAUGGAACCUACGGGUAAUUACGGAGCAGACUAUAUGUCAGCCAUAGACGGGGCCGACUUGUGUCGGACAUAGACGGAGCCGAUUUCCAUAGUCGGACAUAGACGGAGCUGGCCAGACACACAUGGAUCCUUUGAGGGUACAUGUGGAAACACGGGCAUUAUACAGUGAACUGUUCACAAUAGAAAAAGAAAAAGAAACAGAGAUGCAUGCAUGCAUAGAUACAAGCUCAUACAUUCGUUGCAUACAUGAUUAACAAAAGUAAGUGAUUUAUGAUUAACUAAAGUUGAUGUAUAUUCAUUGAGUUGCGACUCAUGGAAAUCGCUCAAUUUUCCAGGAGAUGAAUAAUUAGUAGUGUGUUUUGUAUGAGUGCUCAGUGGAGAUUGUAGAUAGUGCCUAAGAGACGGUGGUCCAGCAGGAUGCUCCAGACUCCUCCAUCAGCCGAUGCACAUAUAUGUAGUUUGAGAGAUUGUGUUUGUGUACUCUAGACUUACUAAGUGUGCAAGAAAUCACGAAGAUAAAUUUAUGUUUAAAUUCUGAAUAUGUGUGGUGAAUAAGGAUGAUGGAAAUGUAUUGAAAUGAUAUGUUGCUUGGUAAAUGUUGUUGAAGUAGUUGAGAUUUUCUGUUCUGGUGAAGAUCAAGAUAUAGCCAAGCAAUAGCUGAUGGUUAUAUUAUCCACUUAUACAGGAUAAGAUAUUUCAUAAUAUUAUUAAAUUACAUGAUUUUGCUAGAAGUGCAUGAAAAUGAUUAUAUGGUACAAGGGUGUUACAUGAAAACUAAAAAGAUCAUUUUUAUUUUUGAUAUUUUUUAAUGUAAAAAAAAAAUCGGAAAAUUAGAAAAAUAUUAUGGAGUUCUAGAGCAACCACCUCAACGCCCCUCGUUUCUCAUUUGUAUAAGUAUAUUGAUUGUAUAUAUAUUAAAUUCUAACUGUUAACACGCUCAAUUUUUUAUUAAUUAAAGUAGGUGUACACUGCAACUUUCAAUUGAAGAUAGUUCAUUGUUAUAUUUUCAAAAUGCUCACACAUAUUAUAUUAGUCGAUGAAAUAAAUAUAACUAUAACAAAAUUUUUCUUGAAAGUUAAAAAAAUUUAAUAUAUGUAAUUUUUUUGAGGAUAGAUAUAUAAUUGAAACAGAAUCAAUAUAAUUAACUCAUCUAAAUUGCUCUCUGGUACUACUCUCUCACUUUUCCAAUAACUGAAACCCUGCAAAUAUUGAUAUUUAAAUGCUUCAUAAAUAUUUUAAUCCUAAUAUAGUAAUAUAUUUGAAAUCCUGGUAACCACCUCUAUCUUUUUAUUGUAGAUACAUCAUUCCUUGAAUAAGAUUCAUCUUGCCAAGAGAUACUUAUGCCAUCAAUUUUUACAUUUUCUCAAUGACAGCAUUACUUCCCUGCAUUUCCCUCGACGAAUAAAACACAGCACCAGCUCAAUGACAUCUCAUGAAUCUUGCUUUUCCCUAGACCAAGAGGUUUUGGAUAAAUAACAGUGUUAUCACUAUGGUCGAGGUAAGAGAGUAGUCAUUGUUAAUUCGUUGGAUGUUGACAGAUUUUGGUUGCUCAAAAAUUGGUCUGCUUCAAACAAAUCUCUCUCCAUGAAAAAACCAGGUUGCUUAGGAUGCGGCAGCUUCAUAUUACUGCUCAACAUCAGAACUACCUCUGACAUGACUGGCCUGUCCUUUGGAUCUUGUUGAACGCAAAGUAAUCCAAUUUGUAUAACUCGCAAGGCUUCAUAAUGGUUAUUGGGCUCCAAGAUCACUCCAUCAAUGAGUUCCAACAGUUUGCCUUGUUUGUAACUUAUCCAUGCCUAAAAUUUAAUUAUGCAACUUAUCAGUGGUAAGAAGCAUAUAGCAUGAGGAACGUCAUAGACACUUAGGCCCUGCUCUUGAGUUUUUUUAGGAGAGAAAGCAAGUGAAUGUAAGUGAAAGUUUGCAUCCCACUUUUGGAGUGAAAGUUUUGGAGUGAAAUUAUAUUAUAAUUGCAUCCAUUUUCACUUGUUUUCGUCCCUUUAAAAAACUCGGGAGCACAAACAUGAGUGAAAGUUAUAUAACUUUACUUCCUCCUCACUUGCUUUCCUCCCUCUUUAUAACUCGGGAGCAGGGCCUUAGUAUAUUUAUACUCACAUGCCCAAGUAGGUUAAAGCUGUGAUCAGGAUGAUUGAAUAAUCUGUUUUUCAUUCCACUUGCUAUCUCUACUAGCAAAACGCCAAAGCUGUAGACAUCGGAUUUAACAGAAAAUUGUCCAUCAAUAGCAUACUCCGGGGACAUGUAACCACUGCGAGAUGAGAAAAUGGAUAUUAAUUAUAAGUUGUCAAUUGUCAUGCAAAGAAAAAAUUUAAGUGCAAAGUCAUAGGAAUUCUUACUAUGUACCGACAACUCUUAACGUUUUUGCUUCACUUUCAUUUCCUCCGAAACUUCUUGCCAUGCCAAAGUCUGAAAUCUUUGGAUUCAUAUCAUGAUCAAGUAAUAUGUUACUGGCUUUGAGAUCUCUGUGUAUGAUCCUCAGCUUUGAAUCUUGAUGAAGAUAAAGAAGUCCCCUAGCAAUGCCAAUUAUUAUGUUGUAUAGCCUCGGCCAGUCCAUUGUGUUUCUGACGUUACUAUCUAUUCAUGUCAUCAAAUUAGACCAGUUCUCUAUAUAUGGGGACAUACAUGACAAAUCUCAGACAAUUAACAUAAUAUAUAUCCAGGUUGGGUCAUACCAAAAAUGAAUGAAUCUAGACUUUUGUUAGCCAGAUAUUCGUAGAUCAAAAUCCUUUCUCCUUUCUCCGUGCAGCAACCAAGAAGCGUCACUAGAUUUCUGUGUUGAAGUUUGGCAAUACAUGAAACUUCAUUUUUAAACUCAUCUAGUCCUUGACUUGAGUUUCUUGAAAGCCUUUUCACUGCUAUUUCUUGUCCAUCAGUCAAUAUACCCUGAAAAUAGGUUGUAAUGUGUUAUAUAUUUGAAUUGACUCGGUAUAGAUUUAAGAACCCAAUUAUUUGUAUUUCCCUUCCACAGAGCACUUAACAUCUAUAUCUCAUUACCAUUUUAAUUCUAAUAUAGACAAGACGAAUAAUUCUAUGUGUUACACAUGGUAAAAUACACGUUUAUUAGGUAAAUGUAUAUAUGAAUUCGUUUUGUUAUAUGUGGUACAGACACUUCUAUUGUUGCAGAUAAACUUUUCCUACAGUAUAGUGAGACAAUGUUAGCUUGGUGCAAAAAUUGUCUACAUAUAAUCACCUUGUAUACAGGUCCAAAGCCACCCUCUCCGAGUAUCAUAUCUCGUGAGAAGUCACUUGUGGCAUUUGCAAUGCUUUGGAAGUCAAAUAAUGGCAACUCCAGAUCUUCAUUCUCAAUUUUGGUCAAGGCAACACUUUCCAAAUUCAAUUUCAAUUUUUCUGCAGUGAUUCAAUAUGGAACAGAGGGGGAUUAUGAGGUCAUGAUUAAUUUUGCUGAUAAUAAUUGUGAAGGAUCAGCCAUCUAUGAUUUAUAUAAUAUUAUUCACACAGAGAUAUAAUUUAUGUAGAUACUACUUAGUAUAUCUUCCUUCCUUGAGUAACAGUUACUGUAACAGACUAACAGAGACUAGUUUACCUUCUUUCUGCAGCUUUCUCUUCUUGCAUGCUACAAGGAAUAUUCGGCCAAGUAGCACUACUACUAGUACUGAAGCAAUGAGAAUGAACUCUAAUUUCCACUUUACUCUGGAGCUUCGGCUUUUUACUGUGUGAAACAAAUUACACAAAUAUAUUAAACUUACAAAAGAACUGUAAAAAGCAAAGAGUUGUUGGAGUAAAAAGGGGAGGACACAAAAUAUUCGUGAAGGUUGUCUUACCUAAUUCAGACGAUGGCAUUCUUACGUAGAUAUCUUCCCCUUCUACUGUGUAGUCUCUAAUAUCAAUUAGGUCAGAAAACCAUAAGAUACAUCCAUGUCCACCUCUUCUGACAUCUGCAAUUGCAUAAGCUGUACAAGAACAGUUUUUCCGGCAUGAUAUCUCACAUUCUUGAAGGUUCAUUUUCAUGUUAUACCAUGAGUGACGUGUGUCUGGUAACUUCACACCAGAAUAUUUCAUAAAGCCUUCGUCGUUCCCACAAACUAGAUCAGUUUUGCGGAUGCAUCCACCAGACCAAUCAGCUGCUUUCCACUCCUCUUGAAAUUUCGGAAUAAAUCCUCUCAAGCAUUCACAUCUUGGUGUAUUGUUGAUCUUGCAUAUUCCAUAUACACCGCAUAGUCCAUAAUGAUCACAGUCACUGUCCUGCAUAGUAAGGUAAACCAUCCAGAUUUGUUGCUGAUCAUUCCACACAAGAAGUUUUGAAUCUCCGCUUGGAGUCAGUAUGAACCUCAUUAUAGCAGAAGUUGUAUUGAUGAGAUGAAACCUAUAAUAGAUUUCCUUUUCAUUGAAAACAAACACAUCUUUAAAAAUUCCAUUCUGGUUCUUGUUGGGAAGACCACCAAAUUUAUAACCAUUCCAUAGUCCCGUCCUCGUCCAAAUUAACGAAUCUUUUGACACAAAAUAUUGUGGAAAACCAUUAGGAUCAAGUCCAUGUGAAAAACUGCCAACUGAUGGAUCAACGUCACUUCUCCAUGAUGAAAAGAUCCUGUUCAGACCAGUUACCAGGUCUAUCCCAUGUUUCAUGCCAGGUAGCAAAUUGUCUCCGGGGUGAUCAAAGCUCUGCCAUUUAAAAUCUUCUACGCUGUUGAAAUCAGGAUGCCCUUCCCUUAAAACUAAAUUCCCUGUAUCUAAUAGCUGUGCAACAGGAUUCUUCAUUGAUACAGACGUAUUCGAUGACCAUAUUACCCCAGUACUAUUAUCAACCAAUUGCAAUGUAAUUCCCUUGCGAUUGACCUGCACUAAGCCUGAGGUGUUCAUGAGAGGAACAUCUCUAUUAGCAACCCAAACAACAGUCCCUCUGGAUAUUUUCCUGUACCAGAUGCCCAGAUAUCGAUUCGUCGAACUACCUGGGCUGAAAAAUCCAAGUUCAAACUCUCCACCUGCUGAUGUGAUAGUAUCACCAUCUCGAAAACUCUGAUGCAUUCUGAUGGUAUCAACUGCCACGGACCUUGUUAUGGUACAGAUUAAAAUGUAGCAAGCCAAAAUAAUAGUAUUCAACUCCAUUAUCUUGCAAAAUGAAUGUAGUUUGCAUAAUUUAACCACAAUCCAGGUGAACCAAAUACUAUAUAGUACCAACAAUUUUAGUCCUAUCAUUAUAGCCACUUGGAUACCUUAAAUACCUAUCCUAAAAAAUAAAAAAAUACAGGGGCCGGUUGGGUGAGCUUAAGUGCUUUCUGCUUAAAGUAAAAAAAUUGAAGUAUAAGUUAGAAACAAGUUAAGACUUAUAAGUGAUUAAAAUGUUUAGAAAAGAAGUAAAAGCCAUGAAACAAAAGCUAGUGGGCCGUUUAAGUUAGCUUAAAAGAAGUGACUUCUUACUUAAACUAAAGAAGUGAAGUAGAAGUUAGAAGUAAAUAAGUUAAUAAAGUGUUUAGAAAAGAAGUAGAAGUUGUGAGAGAAAAGCUAGCAUUCUCAGCUUCUUAAAAGUGAUUCUUAUAAAAGCCUCAGUAUUCUCGACUUCUUAUAAGUACUUCUAACUUAUAAACCUAGAAGCCGGGUUUUGCCCGUCCAAACACCCAAGCUUGACUUUGAUUAUAAAAGUCGGUUAGCACCUUAAAUCUGAAAAGUUUAGUCUUUGAUUCGUUGUGAUUGUAUUAUUGGUUUCAGACUUUAACAUAAACCUAUUCGUCGUAGUCAGAAGUCAGAGGCUAGGAGGUGCAUCUGUCGGGUCUGAUAUAUAAAUAUUACUAUAUUUGAAUAUGAAAUUAGUGGUUAAAAGCUUGAUUGUGAGUUAAGAAUCUAAGCACCUGAUCACUGGCGGCGUCUCUCAGCUGCCACUGACAUGAAGCCAAAUGCUCAAUUCUUAAUUCCCAGGUCGCAGGUUGCUGUGCAAACUAUAAAUAGUUAAAUACUCUUGGCAUGUAUUGAUAUUUCUGGAUGAUGAAAUAUGGCCGCAUAUUCUACCAGUUCAUGACCCUGCAGGCUGCAGGGCACGGCUGACUUAGAGCAUCUCCAUCCAUCUAAAGCCCUUGGCUAAAAGGUGAGUUGGCUUACUUAAAAUAAAAAAAUUUAGCCAACAGCUCCAAAAACUCAACUCCAACCAUACUCACCUGUUGUCUAUAAAUUUAGCCAUGGAUGGCUAAAUUUGUCGAACCUCUACAGGUCUGUAAGAAAAUCUGUAGAAAGAUUGUACAUCAUUUAUUACCAUAUUGAACUGAUAUAUUCUAUUUUAACAAUUUAAAAUAUUAAUAACAUACUAUUUUUAAAUUAUAGCCAACCAAUAUAGCCAGUACCAUUGAAGCAAAAUGUCUUACAGGUUCAGCAAAUUUUACAUAAUGUCUUACAGCUUCAAUUUAGCCAACGAUUAUAGCCAACGCCGUUGGAGAUGCUCUUAUAUAACAUUUGUAAUUUUAUCAUCUAUAUUUUAAAUUUAAAUAUUUUGGUUAAUUAAUGAUAAAAAAAUUUCAUUAUAACACUUAUAUCAAAAGACCCGUAGAAUAAUAUUGAUCGGUUCAUAAAAUUCGACCGAUCAAUAAAAUUAUUAAUAUUUAAUUUUAAUAAAAUAAUAAUAAUAUUAUAUAGUAUAAUAUAAAUAGAUAGUAUAAAUAUAUGAUAUUACUUUUAAAGUGAUAACAUAGAAUAAUUAAGAAUAACAUUAAUAUAUUUAAUUUUAACAUAUCAUAUGUUAUAUAUUAAUAAUUAUAUAUAAUAAUAAUAUCAUCGGUUUUUUAGUUAGGAAUUACAAAAUAUAAAUCAUUUUAGUUAAAAAAGAUUUUUUUUCUGUCGGUAAUUAAAAAGGAUAAUUGAUUAUAUAAGUAGUCCAUAAUUCGGCCCAAGUACCGACAGACCCAUCAACUUUUAAUGUUCGGCUUUAAUCGUAUAGCUAUUAACCUCGGUUUAGGAAAAAAGAAAAUCAUAGAUUUCUGAACUAUUAACAUUUUAUUGUCUAGACCCUGAACUAAAAAUUCGAUUCUUUGUGUUACUUACCUUUUUGUUUUCUAAUCUAAGUUCUUCCGUUAAAAAGAUUCUAACGACAUUAUAAUCAUAAAGCUAUGGUUCUUGAUGUUCAUACAGAUCAAAGCAAUUUUAAAGGUAUUUGUGAUAUCCAAACUUAAAGUUCAGGUAAUCAAAUUAAAAUCUGAAUCGCCACAGUUAUAUGACACCAAUUUUCACAAACAAAGUUUAAUUUAGUAAAUCAUAAAUUUAGGUUCUUAAAUUCGAUCAAGAAUCCUAAAUUUAUAGUUCAUUUUAGGAUUUUUUUUUUGAAUUAAACCUUCAAAUUUUGUGACGUGAGCUGCUAUAGUAAUUUUGUCCCUUGUUGGCUUUAAAAUUGGGUGGGAAACCAUAAAUCUUGUAGCAUCUAUUAAUACUGUAAUCAAGAAAUUUACAAUGUGUGCAAUAAAAGUGUGAGCUUGCUUUUUAGUUCUUUUGUUGACAGCAUUUGAGAAAGCUUUGGGCUUGAAAUUGUUGGACAUGUUCUGAUAUGUAUUGGUUUUCCUCUAGUUCUUCUGUUGUCGUUAUAUUUCUUCUUACCUGUCAAGAAAGCUAUAGAUUCACUUUCAUAUUGUCAAAAAUUCCUCGUGUCUUUCUUCAUGAACAAAAAGCCGAUGAGCUUAAGAAACACUUGAUAAAAGACUCAUCAUAAAAAUGUUCCUCCUUACUGGAGCAAACUAAUCAUUAAGCUUCAGCAUGAAAAUGUUCUUUUACUGAAAAUGUUGUCUCUGUUGAAUUUUGAUAGACAACUUACAAGCUAUGUUACCUGACUCUUCAUUUUUCUUCGAAUAUCCGUGUCAGACACUCGACACUCCAUUUUUCUUCGAAUAUCUGUGUUGGACCCUCGACGCUCGGGCAAUGGUAUGGACACCGCGACAAUUAUUUUAGGCCAGAAACAUGUAAAAUUUUCAAAAUAUUGCCGAGUCCAUCACUCGCAUAUAUCCAUGUACAACUUAAGCCGUGUCCGGAUAAUAUAGGUUACAAGUGCACUUGUUGCACGUACCGUAUGGUAAUGGAUUUGUGCCAGCAAGACUAUCCCAGAUAGUCAGAAACAGUUAGAUUUCCUUGAAUUAACUCUGAAAGUCGUUUCUGUAAAUCAACUCAUCUUAUUAAAUGAGAGAGAUUGCAACUUGAGUGAAUGAGUACAUGAAUGAAUGAAUACGAGAGAGAGAGAGUUGAGCCUAUUAUAUACAGAGUAGCUAGUAACAGAAAGAUGGCGGUAAAGUUAGUUAGUCUAACUAACUGUACAGCUGUCAUUGCAGACCAGUAAAAUUGCAUUAUAAAAAUAGAUCAAUGUAGGUAAAAUGAUUGAUUAUUCUCGAGGUAGGAGAGUGGUGAUCGUUAAUUGGUUGGAUGAUGACGGAUUUAGGUGGCUUAAAUAUCUUUCCGUGAAAAAACCAGGUUGCUUAGGACGAGGCAGUUUCAUAUCACUGCUUAUCAUUAGAACCACCUGUGACAUGACUGGCCUGUCCUUCGGAUCUUGUUGAACGCAGAGUAAUCCAAUCUGUACAACUCGAAAGACUUCAAAAUGGUUGCUGUGCUCCAAGAUCGUCCUGUCAAUGACUUCCAACAAUUUGUCGUGUUUGUAACUCAUCCAUGCCUAAAAUAUUUUAUGUGAAAUAUCAGUAAAAGACGAGCAUAGAUCACAGGGAAGGUCAUAAUAUAUUCGUACUCACAUGCCCUAGAAGGUUGAAGCUGUGAUCAGGAUGACUGAAUGAUCUGUUUUGCACUCCACUUAUUAUCUCUAUUAGUAAAACUCCAAAACUAUAUACAUCAGAUUUAACAGAAAAUUUUCCAUCAAUAGCGUACUCUGGGGACAUGUAACCACUGCGAGAUAAAAAGAAGUUCUAAUUAAUUAUCAAUUGUGAUCCAAAGAAAACAGUAAAUUGCAGAGUCCUCGUAUACUUACUAUGUCCCAAUGACUCUCGAUGUAUUUGCUUCACUUUCAUUUCCUACAAAAGUUCUUGCAAUGCCAAAGUCUGAAAUCUUUGGAUUCAUAUCAUGAUCAAGUAAAAUGUUACUGGCUUUGAGAUCUCUAUGUAUGAUCCUUAGCUUUGAAUCCUGGUGAAGAUACAGAAGUCCCCGAGCAAUGCCAUUUAUUAUGUUGUAUAGCUUCGGCCAGUCCAAAGUGGUUCUCACGUUAUUAUCUGUUCAUUUUUCAUCAAAUUAGACAGCUUGUCUGUAUAAGAAGACACAAUUGAUAAAUUUCAGAAAAAAAAACUUGACAUAUUCACAGGUUGGAUCAUACCAAAAAUGAAUGAAUCUAGACUUUUGUUUGCCAUAUAUUCGUAGAUCAAUAUCCUUUCAUCUUUCUCUGUGCAGCAACCAAGAAGCGUCACCAGAUUUCUGUGCUGAAGUUUGGCAAUACACGAAACCUCAUUUUUGAACUCAUCUAGUCCUUGACUUGAAUUUCUUGAAAGCCUUUUCACGGCUAUUUCUAGUCCAUCAGUCAGCAUGCCCUGAAAAUAAUAGUUGUGAGGCCAUAUAUCUAGCUAUAUUAUAAUGUUAUCAUUUUCUUAUACUUCCAGAGGGACUCACUGGUAAAUCUGAAUUCCCCCAAGAAAGUUUCUGCUCAGGGGAAUUCGACGAACACCUGAGCUCAAGGUAUUCAAGCCUCUUCUACAACCUGUAAUAUGCAACUUACACUUCCUAGGCCAACUCGUUAGAGUUUGGAUCAAAAUCCUUGGAUUAACUCAAUAUAGUUUGAACAAACUUACUCAUACAGUCAUAUGCUUCUCGGAUUUAGUAAUCUUUGUGAUUCUAUUUUAAACAGUUUAAAUAGCUUGUCUGUUACACAUGGUACUGGCACUACACUUAGAUGUAUAUAUGACAUUAAUUAAUUGCAUAAGUUGUUUGCAUAUAUUAAUGGACAUGUAAUACCUUGUAUACAGGUCCAAAGCCACCCUCUCCAAGUUUGUUGUCCUGGGAGAAGUUACUUGUGGCAUUUGUAAUGCUUUGGAAGUCAAAUGAUGGCAACUCCGGAUCUUCAUUCUCUAUUUUGGUCAGCGCAACAGUUUCCAAAUUCAGUUUCAAGCUUUCUGCAAUGAUUGAAGUGUAACAAAUGCACAGUGAUGAGUGCUGAAAUAGUAUCUACCAAUUUUCUGACUAUUAGUUUUCCUGUUUAAAAUUGGCUAUCAUUUAUUUUCAAAAUUCUAGGAUCUCUUUAUUAUGGUACUAUUAUAUUCACUUGGUCGAAAUUCAAAAUCUUUCUUACUAAUUUUUUGUAGUGAAUAAUUUUACCCUUUUUCUGCAGCUUUUUCUUCUUGUAUACUAGAAAGAAUAUUAGGCCAAGUAGCACUACUGCUAGUACUGCAGCAAUGAAGAUGAACUCUGGCAUCCACUUUACUCUGCGACUUAUAACUGCAUUAGUCAAAAAGAUGAAACUUAUAAAGAAUACACCAUCAAAAGCAAAUAGUUAUGGUACUAAUUUUAUAGAGCAAAGAGUUGUGGUGCAAGAAGUGAAGACACGAAAUAUUCACGAAGCUAGAGUUACCUAAUUCAGAUGAUGGCAUUCUGACAUAUAUAUCCUGUCCAUCUUCAGUAAAAUCUCUAAUAUCAAUUAGGUCAUUAAACCAUAAGAUACAUCCAUGUCCACCUCUUCUGAACUCUGCAAUUGCAUAAGCUGUACAAGAACAGUUUUUCCAGCACACCAUCUCACAUUCCUGAAGGUUCAUUUUCGAGUCAUACCAAGAGUGGCGAGUGUCUGGUAACUUCAAUCCUGAAUAUUUCACAAAACCCUCAUCACUCCCACAAACUAGAUCAGUUUUGCGGAUGCAUCCACUAGACCAAUCGGCUGCCUUCCACUUCUCUGGGAAUUUUGGAACAAAUCCUCUCAAGCAUUCACAUCUUGGUGUACUGUUGAUCUUACAUACUCCAUAUACACCACAUAGUCCAUAACGAUCACAGUCACUGUCCUGCAUACUAAGGUAAACCAUCCAGAUUUUUUGUGGAUCAUUCCACACAAGAAGUUUUGCAUCUCCAGUUGGGGUCAGUACGAACCUCAUAAUAGCAGAAGUUGUAUUUGUAUUGAUGAGAUGAAACUUAUAAUAGAUUUCUUUUUCAUUGAAAACAAACACAUCUUUAAAAAUUCCAUUCGGGUUCCUGUUGGGAAGACCACUAAAUUUGUGACCAUUCCAUGGUCCAAUCCUUGUCCAAAUCAUUGAAUCCUUUAACACAAAAAAUUGUGGAAAGCCAUUUGGAUCAAGUCCACUAGUGAAAUUGCCUAGGGAUGGAUCAACUACACUUGUCCAUGAUGAAAAAAUCCAGUUCAGACCAGUUACCAGGUCUAUUCCAUGCUUCAUGCCAGGUAGAAAAUUGUCUCCAGGGUGAUCAAAGCUCUGCCAUAUAAAAUCUUUUACGCCAUUGAAACUGAGAUGCCCUUCCCUUAAAACUAAAUUCCCUGUAUCUAAUAGCUGUGCAACAGGAUUCCUCAUUGAUACAGACGUAUUCGAUGACCAUAUUAUCCCAGUACUAUUAUCAACCAACUGCAAUGAAAUUCCCUUGUGAUUGACCUGCACUAAUCCUGAGGUAUUCAUAAGAGGAUUAUCUCUAUUAGCAACCCAAACAACAGUCCCUCUGGAUAUUUUCCUGUACCAGAUGCCCAGAUAUCGAUUCGUUGAACUUCCUGGACUGAAAAAUCCAAGUUCAAACUCUCCACCUGCUGAUGUGAUAGUAUCACCAUCUCGAAACGUCUGAUGCAUUCUAAUGAUGUCUACAGCCAUGGAGUUCACUAAGGUAGAGGAUAAAAUGAAGCAAACCAAAAUGGUGGAAGUCAACUCCAUUAUCUUGCACUCUUCUAACUUGCAAAAUGCCAAAAUCUAUUUCUAGUAAUGCAUAACCUGACCCCAACCAAGGAAAAACAAAUUUGUUAGUUAAAAAAUAACAUUUUUGCCUCUGUCAAACUUAUAGCAACUUGGAUUAAAAUAAAAACUAUACUAUUAUCAGUAAUUGAAAGUUGAGUCUCUGAUUAUAAUAAUCAGUUAGCACUUGGAUCUGAUUUGUAGAUUUUAAUAAAAACGAAUUGUGCCGUACUCAGAUGUCAGUUCUUGACCUGUUCACUCUGAUAUAGGAAUAUGAUAUUAGUGAUUAAAUCUUGACUUUGAUCAGAAGAGUUGAGAAUCUAAGCACCUUGUCACUAGCGGCGACCUGGUCUCUCAGCAGCCAUUUACAUGAAGCUAAAUGUUCCAUUUUAAGUUCCAAGGUCAAAGGAUGCUAUGCAAACUCAAUAGACUUAUGACAUGGUAUUGAUCUGUUUUGAAUAAUGAAAUAUAAAGCCCUUUUGGAUAAAUACUAAUGACGUGCUAGUUUCCGGCAAGUACACAGACUAGUUCGUAAUUUAUGGAAACUUCAGGAGUUCAGGGUUUGUUUAUGUUUUUUGAAAACAUAAGAGACUGGUUUAACAUGUUCAGAAAGUUGAAGGGACCCAACUUUAAGUUUCCAUCAGAUAUAAAGAAAGAUAUUAGGGUACCUUCUUCCUUUACUAAUUAAAUUAUUUGACUACUUACACGUAAAAUAAUUUGCAUCUUGUCUAGUAGGAUUUGGGUGCUGGGAUUCUGCGUACAAGAAAGUGAGAAAGUGAAAGACAAAAUGAUUGAAUCAAUUUCUUCAAAUACAAUAUGUGUGACAGCCCGAGAAUCCGGGGGUCUGGAUUCUGACGUCACCACACAAAAUCAUUCUAAAACACUUUUGAAAACCUGUAUUUUUGAAAAAGGUAAUAAAAUCAAAGGAUUUAAAACCUGAAAACUUUAGUAAAAGAUUUAAAAGAAAACACUUUAACCCCCUAAAAACAGGAUCGCAUCCAGGUUACAGUAUUGAAAUUAGAAUCAACCACUAUCAAUUAACAAUGUCUUACAAUCUCAGAUCAUCUUCGAUGAGAAGAAUCACUGCCAAUCUAUUCAAAUUAUGAUUACAUCUGAAUCUCAAUAACACAACUCUAUCUAGAACCAACCUUGACAAUCUCCCUGGACAUUCCACUUGUCCUCUGGAUAUUCUAUAACUCUGACUCCUCGCUUAGCCUUAGCCAUACUCGCAACCUCAAUCAAGCAAUUCAUCUCUAAGCUUUUCUGAAAUGGUUAAAAAGGAAUAGCAAGGGUGAGCAACAAUGCUCAGCAAGUGUAUAUAAGCAACAAUAGUCCUGAAAUAUCUUAUCAGGGUUCACAAGUUCAGGAUAUGUAAUUGAAAACUUCACAACUCUUAUCAGCAAUUGAAAUCAGAAUUCAAACUUACAGAAGAAUUGUCGAAUUGGAUUCAUCACAUUUUUACUUAAAAACCAAAGGUUAGGCUGCUGAUCAGUCACGCACUAACCCCGAACAUGGCACACAGCCCUGCUCUCUAUACUGGAUCCAAGGCACACAUUGGCCUAUAAUUGACCACGAAUCUGGUCUGACCACGAAUCUGGUCCACAUAUUUUAUAAAAACUAAUCCAAUUCUAACAAUUUAAAUCAAUAGACAAUUCAAUCAACAGAACAGAAUCAUAAUCAUUAUCAACAACAGAAAUAUUCCAAAUCAACUUUUGGGAAUCAACAUUUCAUAAACCACAGUCUGUCUUUUGAUAAAUCAUAGUUCAGGAAAUUCCUAACUAUUCAGUAUCCUCCAUUAUCGGCUAAGCAACUGAAUUUAGCCUGCUAAACCAGCAUGACAAUGGCGGGUUGAAUAAUCAAGAAGAUCCCUAUUCAUUCUAAGUUCUAACUAUCACNNNNNNNNNNNNNNNNNNNNUAGACAAUUCAAUCAGCAGAACAGAAUCAUAAUCUUUAUCAACAACAGAAAUAUUCCAAAUCAACUUUUGAGGAUCAACAUUUCAUAAACCACAGUCUGUCUUUUGAUAAAUCAUAGUUCAGGAAAUUCCUAACUAUUCAGUAUCCUCCAGUAUCGGCUAAGCAACUGAAUUUAGCCUGCUAAACCAGCAUGACAAUGGCGGGUUGAAUAAUCAAGAAGAUCCCAUUUCAUUCUAGGCUCUAACUAUCACUGAGCAACACAUGCUUCAAUGACGGUCUGAACUUCGAAUUAAUUUGUAGAACUGGUAUUUUUAAAAUCUUGAGGAUUGGAAAGAAUGGAUCAAAAUAGAAAGUUGAGAGUAAUUAGGUGUUUGGCUUUUCAAAACUUGGAAGAAGAAAACAAUCAUGGGAUUCAUUCUCAGAAGUAAGAGUUUGUUUGAGAAGGGUCUCAGCAUAAACAAUAUCAUAAUCUUGACAGAAUAAUCAGAACAUGCAAUAUAUAUAUGAGGAAGGAUUUAGGAAUACUUGCCUUAAAUCCGCUUCCACACACAUAGCUUAAUCUCAUCUUUCCACUUUCACACUCUAUGCAUAUCAUAGUCUCUAGACCAUCUUUGGCUAUACUCUAUUCGCCACACUGCUUCGUUUACUCGAUUCGUUCCUUAUUCGCUUUGUAACAUCGUUUGACCUUCUGAACGUCUUCGAUCGUAUCCGUCUCGUCCAAACCCUUUACGAGAAUAAGAUACUACCAUUAUCACUAAAUAAUCUAUUGAUUCUUAUCUCUACUUAUCAACUCGGUAGCAUAACCUAUCGCAUACACAUAUCACGUAUAUCGAUACCCACUUAUAUAACUCUUUAAACUCAUCAAAUAUCACUUAACACAUAAUCAUGCUUUGACUCUACCAUAUAGUCUAAUCAUAUUUCACAUAACAUAUUAUCAAUUAAAUAUCAUAUAAAUCUUAUCGAAAAUCCGACAUCGUCUCGUCUAUUUAUUAGACUAUCCACCUGUUAUCCUAUCUCAAUCAACAAUCAAUCAACCAAAUCCAAUCACUAUAAUCCAUAUGCUUUUAUCCGACAUAUAUCAAGACACGACACUAUGUCAUUUAAUCAUUUAUCACAUGUAUGUAAUACUAGGACAACCAGAUAGUCCAUGCAAUCAUCAAUUAAUAGCAAUUAGAUCACAUAUAAUCAUAUUCUAUACAUUUAACAACAAUUAUUCACAUUCUAUACUCCACCAUCUUAUUAUGUCACAUUAAAAUAGACUUUAUAAGCUUUAAUCUCUUUUUCGUUUCACUCUAUUCUGAAUUACGAGUCAAAAGUUAUGAGCAAGACCGUUUUCUAACUCUCCUAUCGGUACAUAACAUAUCAAACAGAUAGCAGACAACAUUUUUCAUAUAAGGUUUCCCAUCCCAAUUGAUAUCAAAUCAAGUCUCAGGUUAAAAAUGAUUUUUCAGGAAUUUUCUGGAAUUUCUAGACAUUUUUCGGAAUUAAAACAGGUAAAAGAAUCCAUUUUUGAAUAAAUAAUCAAGUCCGAUUGCUCAAGAUCGGGUCCAAAAUCAUUUGAAAUCAAUUAACGAGCCUCAAACAUUUUCUAGAAUUUUUAAAUCAACAGGAGCAAUUAAAUCUAAUUAAUUAAUCAAUUAAAAUCAAUUAAUAAUUAACUAAAUUAAUUAAUCAAUUAAUAUUUAAAUUAAUUGACCAAUUAAAAUAAUUAAUUACUAAUUAAAAUUAAUUAAGAAACUAAUUUAGAUUUAUUUUUGAAUAAAGAAAUAAUUAAAAACUAUUUUUGGAAUUUAAAAUAAUUAAAUAAAACAAUUUUAGAAAAUUAAAUCAAAAGGUUUAUUUUGUAAACUUUUGAAAACUUGGCCGCAGGGUCAAAACUGUAACCUUUAAAAGUUACAGGGGAGUUUUUGUAAGUAUUGAAACCUCGGUAUACACACUUCAUCAUCUUCGAAAGUAGGGGGUAUCAAACCGUAAUUUGCCACCAUCGAAACUUUGAAACUCAAUCGAGCUCUCAUCCGAGCUCUCACACUGAUUUCGAUCACAUCCCUCGACUCCCCUCCUCAAGAUAAACACAUUCAUAACAUCAAAAACCGCCCAGAUUGACAGAAUAAGAAACCCCCAAAUUUCAAUUAAAAAGCUUCAAGAACACUCAAGAACACAGCCUCAAGAAUCAAACCCAUAUUUCUAUAUGUUACGGAACUCAAAAAUCGACAUAUAAUAUAUGAAAACGAUUGGCAGGAGAUGCUCUACAACAUGGAAUCAUCAAAUCAAUCCAACAAGCUCGUUUGUAAAAAUUCACUAUUUAAAUCUUAAUAAUUCGAAUUUUGUAAAAUUAAUAUAAAAUCACCUGAUGAUUCUGCACUGAAACGGAUGAUUGUAUUAGAUUCUACACGUCGAGAGCUUCGUUUUGACUAUUUAUACGCCUCCAUCGGAUUCCAAUAACGCUUUCAAAUCCUCGUUUGAUUAUGAAGAACACGAAGAACACCCGUUCGUCUUCUCUCGGUAUUCGUGCAGAGAAACUGACGAAAUGAUUGUACGUGCGAGAUAAACUGGUAAAGGAUAUUUAUAGAAGAAGAUAAGAGAAUAUUCCUUGAAUAUGCUUUGGAAUAUUCCUUGAAUAUGCUUCACGUAUUACGAGAUAACCAGAUAAUUAUUAACUUUAAAAAUAUUAACAAAAUCGUACCGGACCAUUUACGGGGCAAACCGUACUCCGGAUUGAAAAAGUUAAAACACGAAAAAUGCUCAGAAUGUCCCAAAUAGCUUAAUGGCGAAAUUUUCCCGAACGCCCGCGGGGUUUAAAAUGCUAAAUAACUAUUUUAAUAUAAUUAAUAAUUAACCGAAAUUAAAUCCAUAAAUCGAUUAUAAAAUCACAUAGCAAUCCAAAAAUCGAUAUAAACAUAUCUAAAUAAACUAUAUUUUAUCCUGAUCAUAUAGAAAUUGAAAUAUCUCAAAUCCGAACACAUAUGAACAGUCAAUUCAAUAAACCCGAUAACACAAACCUCACAAAUUUUCAUAUAAAUAUCACAUACUAUCCAUAAAUUAUCAGGAAAAUACCCAAAUGUUCCAUAUUUUAUUCUGAGAAUAUAAAAAUUGGAAACUCGUGAUUGCAGCAUAUAUAAGCAAUCAAAAUAGAAAACUAGUUAUCAAAGAAUUUACGAAAUAUUCAUAUAAUAUUCAUAAAUAACCAUAACUGGUUACACGACCAUUACACACGUAACACUUAAUCAUGUAAUACAUAUAUUUACAUAUCAACCAUCUAACUUUUGCAUAACCCAUCUCUGUAUUUUCAGAAAUAAUAUUUGAAAUAAGUUUUGAAAGGAUAUUCAUAUAUCCAUAUAUAAAUCCAUAUAUAAAUCAUUUGAAAAUAUCUAAAUAACACAUGACUCAUUCUGAUAAUAUCAAUAAUUAAACCCACAGUUCUGGCACAUAUAAAUACCAAUUACAGAAAAUCAAUUUACACCAAAAAUUCAUGCAAUAUUCACAUUUAUUUAUUAUAACUAAUUAAACUCGCAAUUCACAUGCAACACUUAGCCAUGUAACAAUCAUACUCACAGACCAAUCUUUUAAAUCUUUAAAAUCAAUUGUAUGAAAUACAGUUUUGAAAAGACAGUCCCUGUAUCGAUAACACAAUAACCCGGGAUUUAAAUAUAAACUUUGAAAACACAUUAAACCGGAAUUAAAUAUUAAAUUUUAUUCCUUACUUUCUAAGAAACUUAUAUUCAUAACAAUAAACAAUUUUUGAAAAAAUCCGGGUCGUUCAAAUAUACGAAAUUCCAGAAGAAUAGUGCAUAAUCUGUUUAAAUCUUAUAAUUUCACAUCACAAUUAUACUUAUACUACACAGACCAUUCAUCUUAUCAGAUAAAAGUCCAUUAAAGCCAAUAAUAUUAUUCAAAAACUUAUUCUAUAUUAAUAAACUAAUUCUGAAAAUCUGGGAUGUUACAAUAUGCGCAUAGAGAAAUUUAAGGCACUUGAAACUGAUGAGUGCUCCAAUAAUGUCCUAGUGAUGUCUCUUCUUUUGAUGCCAAGAACACCGUCCCAGAUACAUCACAAUCGUUUGUGCAUGGUGGAAGAUGGUGACUUGUAAAAGUCACGAGUUAGGCUUGUUAAGACUUGGGUGUGUCUUAACAAUGGGACUAAUGCUUCGCCGGAGACACUCAUCGCCAAUUUGCUAGAGAUUUGUACGACCGAAACAUAGUAGUAAUGUUCAAAAUAUUAUAUCUGAGUCCUACUUAAUUGCCAUUCAUUCAAAAAGUUGUAAUACUAAAAAAUACAGUAACAAUUUGCUCUAAUGGAAAUACUUAAAAACACUUGAUCAUCAGUUUACAAAGUCACAAGAAUAAGGCACACUUGGAAUAUCAUUGAUCACUAGGGGACACUAUCUUUAAUUAUAUUUAUAAGUUACUUGCUAGCACAUUGUUGGACUUUCUCGUCUGAGGGACGAAGAGCAUUCCUAGGUGAUGAGUUUUCCAACUAUUGUUUUCCCAAGCUUGGAAACAGGGUAGGUAAGUUCUCACUGACGCAAGGUAGCCCAGCUACUUUAUUAAGAAGAAACCUCACAGUGAAGGCAGGGGCACACCUCCUCAAAAACCAAUUGCCCUGAACAGCUAGUCAAAGCAGGCUCUACAGUGUGACUUAGCUUCCAUGGCACCAAGAAUGCUGAUAGAAAGGGAUCUGAUCAACUGACUCCAGACUUGCCAUAUCGACACCCUCAGUCCUGGCAUAGCUGAAUUAUCACUCUGGUGAAGAUAGCAUGAUAUCAAAGUAUUAGGCAAAGGAUCAAAUUUACUUUUUAUCCCGGGAUACACCACAGGUUGGUUUUGAGAGCCGUGUGAUGAGUGACUAUCCAGCAUGAUUCGAAGGGCACUUUUAGUCUGCGUUGUUGAAUGGAAGCCCCCCUUUGAAGCAAGAAAGAAGCAGCAGUAGCAGUUACUUUCUUUAUUAGCUAACCUGAAGAGCCAAAUGAUCACACUAUUCUCGAGGUAGGAGAGUGGUGAUUGUUAAUUGGUUGGAUGAUGACAGAUUAGGGUUGCUUAAAUAUUCAUCUGAUUCAAGCAAAUAUCUCUCCAUGAAAAAACCAGGUUGCUUAGGAUCAUGCAGUUUCAUAUUACUGUUUAACAUUAGAACCACCUGUGACAUCACUGGCCGGUCCUUUGGAUUAUGUUGAACGCACAAUAAUCCUAUUUGUAUGACUCGAAAGACUUCAUGAUAGUCACGGGGCUCCAAGAUCACGCCAUUAAUGAGUGCCAACAGUUUGUCUUGUUUGUAACUCAUCCAUGCCUAAAAUUUAAUCAGGUGAAUUAUUUAUCCGUAAUAAAGUAGCAUAUAGCAUAAGGAAUGUCAUAAUAAAUAUUUACUCACAUGCCCCAGAAGGUUUAAGCUGUGAUCAGGAUGACUGAAUAAUCUGUUUUUCACUCCACUUACUAUCUCUACCAGUAAAACGCCAAAACUAUAUACAUCUGAUUUAACAGAAAAUUGUCCAUCAAUAGCAUACUCCGGGGACAUGUAACCACUGCGAGACAAAAAAUUCUAGUCAAUUAUCAGUUGUGAUGCAAAGAAAAUAGUAAAUUGCAGAGUGCUAAAAGUUCUUACUAUGUCCCAACAACCCUUGAUGUAUUAGCUUCAGUUUCAUUGCCUCCAAAACUUCUUGCCAUGCCAAAGUCUGAAAUCUUUGGAUUCAUAUCAUGAUCAAGUAAUAUGUUACUGGCUUUGAGAUCUCUAUGUAUGAUCCUUAGCUUUGAAUCUUGGUGAAGAUACAGAAGUCCUCUAGCAAUGCCAUUUAUUAUGUUGUAUAGCUUCGGCCAGUCCAGAGCGUUUCUGACGUUAUUAUCUAUUCAUUUGUCAUCAGAUUAGACUUCCAAAGUGUAUAAAUGACAAAAUUGAUGAAUUUCAGAACAAAAAUAUGACAUAUUCUCACAGGUUGGGCCAUACCAAAAAUGAAUGAAUCUAGACUUUUGUUGGCCAUAUAUUCGUAUAUCAAUAUCCUUUCUCCUUUCUCUGUGCAGCAACCAAGAAGUGUCACCAGAUUUCUGUGCUGAAGUUUGGCAAUACAUGAAACUUCAUUUUUAAACUCAUCUAGUCCUUGACUUGAGUUUCUUGAAAGCCUUUUCACCGCUAUUUCUAGUCCAUCAGUCAGCUUGCCCUGAAAGUCACGGUUGUCUUGCUUUAUGUUUAAUUUUUAUGCUAUAAUUUCUUACACUUCCAAAGAGUCUCAUUGGUAAAUCUGAGUACCCCUGAGAAAGUUCUUGCUCAUGGGAAAUCAAAGAUCCCCUGAGCUCAAGGUAUUCAAGCCUGUAUAAUCAGUAAUAUGCAAUUUACACCUACUAGGCCAAUUCCUUGGAGAUUGGUACAAUAUCUUUGAAUAUAAAAUCAAACUCAUACAGUCAUAUGCUUCAUGUAUUCAGUAAUCUGUUUGAUUCUAUUUUAACAGUUUAAUAGCUUAUCUGUCACACAUGAUACUGGCACUGUAGUUAGCUACAUGUAUAUUUACGUUGUGUUGUGCUUUCAGUUGUGACAAACAUUGCUUUAUUGCGUAUAUUUAUGGACAUGUACUGUAUUUCACCUUGUAUACAGGUCCAAAGCCACCCUCUCCAAGUAUGUUGUCUGGGCAGAAGUUACUCGUGGCAUUUGCAAUGCUUCUGAAGUCAAAUAAUGGCAACUCCAGAUCUUCAUUCUCAAUUUUUGUCAAGGCAACACUUUCCAAAUUCAGUUUGAAGCUUUCUGCAAUGAUUGAAGGACAACAAAUGCACAUUGAUGUAGUUCUGAAAUAGUUUCUACCAAAUUUCUGAUUAUUCCCCAGAUGCUAGGAUCCCUUUAUUAUGGUACUAGCAAAUUUACUCAGUCGGAAUUCAAAAUCUUCCUUUCCAAUUAAUAGUAGUGAAUAAUUUACCUUCUUUCUGCAUCUUUUUCUUCUUGUAUAUUAGAAGAAAUAUUCCUCCAAGUAGUACUACUGCUAGUAUGGCUAAAAUGAGGAUGAACUCUAGCAUCCACUCUGCUCUGCGACUCUUUACUGCAUUAGUCAAAAUAUUUAACUUAUAAAGAAUACACCAUCAAUAAGCAAAUAGCUGAGGCACUAAUUUUAUAGAGCAAGAGUCGUUGUACAAAGAGUGAAGACACGAAGCCAGUCUUACCUAAUUCAGACGAUGGCAUUCUUACAUAUAUAUCUUGUCCAUCUUCAGAGUAGUCUCUAAUAUCAAUUAGCUCAGUAAACCAUAACACACAUACAUGUCCACCUCUUCUAACAUCUGCAUUUGCAAAAGCUGUACACGAACAGUUUUUCAGGCACAAUUUCUCACAUUCUUGAAGGUUCAUAUUCGUGUUAUACCAAGAAUGACGUGUAUCAGGUAACUUCACACCCGAAUAUUUCACAAAACCCUCAUCAGUCCCACAGACAAGAUUAGUUCUGCGGAUGCAUCCACUAGACCAAUCUGCCGCCUUCCACUUCUCCUGGAAUUUCGG
This 24614-nucleotide long non-coding RNA is filed under the name Daucus carota (carrot). RNAcentral describes it as "long non-coding RNA (DCAR_LNC005711)". The record is from RNAcentral. Lineage: Eukaryota; Viridiplantae; Streptophyta; Magnoliopsida; Apiales; Apiaceae.